AUGAUAUGCAACUCUCAUACGCAUCGAAUCAGCAGAAGGAGCAGCACGCCGGCCGGUUCCAAGCAGCAGCGACGUUCCCUGUUUGGUCCUCGAUCGCCUGGCAACGUCGAUCGGCGGCAUGGCGCUACUGAAGCGCAGCUUCACCGCGGCGCUGCUCGACGAGGGCGACGACUCGUCGUACCCGUUGAAGAUGCCGGGCAGCCUCGCGCGCACCACCGCGCCGGUGGCCAAGAUGAUGCGGCUGUGGAACUACAAGCAAGGCUCGGGCCUCGGCGCGCACGGCCAGGGCAUCGUCGCCCCUAUAAAGGCCAUCCGGCAUUGCUCCACCGCCGGCAUCGGCCACUCCGAAACGACGUACAAGAACGGCCUGCAUGGCGCGCCGGCGCCGUCGCCGCCGGCCCAGGACGAGUGGCACGAGUCGGCGGCCGUCUCACGAGCCCUGCGCCUCGAACGGGACUGCUGCAAGAGGACCCUCGCGCUGCUGCGCGACGUGAAGCUUCAAGGCGACGACAGCGCGGAGACGGCGGAGGCGCUGGCGGCGGUCGUCAAGUCCGAGCGGGCGCUCCGGGGGAAGAAGCGUGCACUGGGAGCGUGGAGGGCUGCGUUGCCUGCUCCGACCGUCCAGCACACAUAGUUUUUAAUGCCAUAGCCCGCUAUUUAAAACAUUGCCAGCACAUCGUGGAGCUGGUUCUCACGCCGAGGAUCGCCGUGAAAGCGCGAGAGUGGGAGCCGUUGUGGAGCCCGGGCUGCGACCACUGGCUACGCCCGUGGAUCCCCUUGAUCGGACAUUUGCCGGAGAGCCUCUACGGCACCGUGGAGAGCAAGAUCAGCGACGGCUGCUACGACGUCAUCUCCCCAUGGAAAGACUACCUGGACCCGACGCAUUGGGAGAUCUUCUCCCGGCGUCACAUCUUGCCUAGGCUCACACGGUGGCUGCAACAGCUGAAGAUCACACCACCGAAGCAGCGCGACACUAAGUUCCGCGAGGUCAUGUCGUGGACGCCUCUCGUGCGCACCGAGGACGUGGUGUCGAUCCUGGAGCAGGAGUUUUUCGGCAAAUGGGAGAGCGCGCUGCGCCACUGGCUGCAGUCCGCGAGGCCGUCGUCGGGGGAGGCCGCGGCCUGGUGCGCCGGCUGGAAGAACCUCUUCGCCCCGGAGCUGCUCGAGAACGCGUGGUCGCAUGGCUGGAGUCUGGCGUUGCCAUGGUGGAUCGAGAAGCGGAAGACCUCGGCCGUCUUGUUUGUCAAAGUUGAUACAACAGCUUGUAAGAUUGUAGACUUGUAG
This 1284-nucleotide ribosomal RNA is filed under the name Triticum aestivum (bread wheat). Its description in RNAcentral is "partial small subunit ribosomal RNA". The record is from RNAcentral. Lineage: Eukaryota; Viridiplantae; Streptophyta; Magnoliopsida; Poales; Poaceae.